UGAUGGCCUUAUCGAAGCUGUGGCACUUACAAUCUUAUAAAUAUCAUAGUCAAAAAAUGGCCAAUAAUAAUUCUUUUUUUGGUCGCAGAUUGAGUUGCAUAUUCGUUCUGUAUUACCAAAAAAAUGCAUGA
This is a small nucleolar RNA of Pogonomyrmex barbatus (red harvester ant), 131 nucleotides long. The record is from RefSeq and is a predicted model, not a curated record. NCBI's taxonomy places the organism in Eukaryota, Metazoa, Arthropoda, Insecta, Hymenoptera, Formicidae.